RNAcentral lists this ribosomal RNA (508 nucleotides) under uncultured bacterium. RNAcentral describes it as "partial 16S ribosomal RNA". It matches the Rfam family "Bacterial small subunit ribosomal RNA", at positions 29 to 523 of the family's 1533-position model. The record is from RNAcentral.
AGUGAACGCUGGCGGUAGGCCUAACACAUGCAAGUCGAACGGCAGCACAGUAAGAGCUUGCUCUUACGGGUGGCGAGUGGCGGACGGGUGAGGAAUACAUCGGAAUCUACUUUUUCGUGGGGGAUAACGUAGGGAAACUUACGCUAAUACCGCAUACGACCUACGGGUGAAAGCAGGGGAUCUUCGGACCUUGCGCGACUGAAUGAGCCGAUGUCGGAUUAGCUAGUUGGCGGGGUAAAGGCCCACCAAGGCGACGAUCCGUAGCUGGUCUGAGAGGAUGAUCAGCCACACUGGAACUGAGACACGGUCCAGACUCCUACGGGAGGCAGCAGUGGGGAAUAUUGGACAAUGGGCGCAAGCCUGAUCCAGCCAUACCGCGUGGGUGAAGAAGGCCUUCGGGUUGUAAAGCCCUUUUGUUGGGAAAGAAAUCCAGCCGGCUAAUACCUGGUUGGGAUGACGGUACCCAAAGAAUAAGCACCGGCUAACUUCGUGCCAGCAGCCGCAGUAA